GUUUGUUAGGUUAUAGGUUAUUUUUAUUUUUUCGAUAGAAUAAUUUUUAUUUUUACGUUUUUGUUUUCUUUGGAUUAUGAUUUACUUGAAAUACAAAAGAAGUUGAAAUAAUCCAGAUAUAAUAUAAAUAUAUAAAUAAUUGAAAUUUGUAUAUUUUUUCAAAGUUUGUGUUUUUGGAUUCCUAAUUGCUGUGCUACCAUCGUCUCAACGCCUUUGGGCCACCGAUACCUGCGGCAUGAUCGCUCUGUACAAGAUGCAUCGAGGACAUGCAUGAAAUCUUCUUGGAUGUGUUACAACUACGACAAGCUGGGGUGCCCAAGCCGUGCCAUCAGUAGCAUGAACAUGAUUGUCAGAAUAAUGGUGCACAACAUGUACUCUCAGAGUUUUACAAGUGAUGUUAAAGAUAAUAGAUUUUGGUGACCGAACUGACUUUAUAGACUGCAACUUAUGUAGCUUGUAUGCUCACAGUAGUACUGUGAUAAGAAAAAAAAUUACACAUGAAUUUAAAAUAAUUGCAUGAAUGUGUUUUUAUGAUGACAUAAGCUUCAAUUGUUGAAUGGUGCAAUUUCAACUUGGUUCAACUUAAUAAAGACAAAAUCACUAUCAUAACUUUCUCAAGAAAACUUCAUCCUAAUACUUUUGAGUACAAUAUUGAUAAUCUUAUAAAAUCUUAUUAUGUGAAAGACCUAGGUAUUUUACUUGAUUCCAAGUUAUUUUUCCAUCUUCACAUUGAAUCACUUAAAUCUAAUUACAGUAGAAUACUCUGACUAAUUAAGUAUAUUAAUUUCAAUGCUACUAAUGUUGAUUCCGCUAUACCUCUAUACAUGGCUCUAAUUAGAUCCAAACUAGAAUAUGGAUCUAUAAUAUGGAACACUGGUAUCAAAAAAAUUAACAAACUGCAAAUUAAAUUUUUUAACUUCAUAAAUAUUAAAAUUCAAUAUGGAAUGAUUGUCGACACAAAUUAUUGUCUGGGUUCUCUCAAAGCCAGAAGAGAGAUACUAGAUGCUACAUUUAUUGGUUACUGUUACAAUUAAUCAAACUGUCCUAACAAACUACUGGCAUAAAAAUUCCACCUUUCAAUACGUAGUUACUAUGUACAUUAAGUAAACAUAACAAUCUUAAGUAUGGACUUAUAAACAAUUUUAAUAAAUAAGAGAGUUUUUCCCUUCUUUCUAGUAAUAAAAUAAAUCUCAAAAAUAUGGUAUCAUCUGCCCAACCUUAAAUACACAUUGUUUCUUUCUGCUCUCACUAUUACUGCGCUGUUAUAAAAUUGUAGUGAUGUAUAAUAUGUCCUUAAUCAUAAUUUCCCCCCCCCCCCCCCCCCUCCUCUUAGCGGUAUUUGUCAGUAUAUAACUUUUUUUAUUAUGCAUUUAUGUAUUAUGUAUGUUUGUAUUUGCUUUUUAUUUUGGUUAUCAACCUAGUUUUUAUUGUAUAUUUAUUGUAUUUGUUCUUAUUUCUAUAUUUCUAUGUCUGUAUGUUUUAGUGUUUUGUGUUGUUAAAAGCUUUUUUUUUCUGUUUGUAUUUAAGUUUUUUUUCCAUGCUCACCAUAAAAGUGUCAUAGCUGUCAAUGGGCACGUCACAAAUGUAAAUAAAUAAAUUUUGGCACCUCUGUGUUGCAGCACA
This is a long non-coding RNA of Bacillus rossius redtenbacheri, 1623 nucleotides long. RefSeq lists it as uncharacterized. Lineage: Eukaryota; Metazoa; Arthropoda; Insecta; Phasmatodea; Bacillidae. The transcript is spliced from 2 exons. The record is from RefSeq and is a predicted model, not a curated record.